This 6292-nucleotide long non-coding RNA is filed under the name Sus scrofa (pig). Its description in RNAcentral is "lncRNA (ENSSSCG00005029227.1)". The record is from RNAcentral. Lineage: Eukaryota; Metazoa; Chordata; Mammalia; Artiodactyla; Suidae.
AGUUCUUAAAAAGGUGUUUCAAAAUAAGUGGCAACUUUAAUUAAAUGUUUUUUUAUUAUGUAGGGGAGGGGAUGGGCAAGACAUUUGGAAAUAAUUGUUCUUAUGGAAACAUUAUUUAUACAGUAGCAUCAAUGACUUACUUUAUAUUCCUUUCUUUACAUUUUAAGAAAAGGAGCCUUUCAUAUUUGUUUGAGGAUAAAAAUGUUUUUACGUUUUUAUACCUGGUUGACGGAGUACUUUGUCCUUCUCAUAGCUUUAAAGGACCCUGAAUCCUGUUUCGGCACAUGCAGAAUAAAAGUGUGUCUCCUCUCCCCACUCCACUCUUGUGAUGCAUGUCUUUUAUUAAUAGGGAUACAAUUCUGGAAGUGAUAAAUUGAGACUUGGCUCACAUUGCUUCACACAAAUAUGGCUGGUGAAACUCCAGUAUGUAGUUCAUAUGACAGAUUUCAAGAUAGCACAAAUUGAAUCAAGUGUUAUGACUCAGAACACUCUGAGGGUUAAUUAAUGUAUGUCUACAAAAAUAAUUUUGGGGUAAAAAGGCUACACAAUGGAAAAGUAUUAGUAUAGUGAUGCUCGCAUAUAGUAAAAGUUGUACAGGAACUAUUUUUAUAGCCAUCUUUCCCUCUUUUCAAUGCUUUCUCUCUCUCCCCUUAUCUAAGAGAUCAUGCCCUACUUUACUUAAAUCUUCAGUUAUCCAGGAGUUGGCUUCCUCUGCUUUUGGAACUUGUGAAGCAGCUGGGUAGUGAUGCUAGUCGGGGCUGGUUGGAACUGAGGAUGAAGGUGAGGAGGCUGGCAAGCUGUCACUCAAAGGAGUUGCAUGGAGUCUUGCCAAUGAGAACCAGACCAUGGCAGGAAUUAUAACUGAAGAAAUAAUUCACAUGUAUGUGUGUGUGCACACACAUAGUCACACAGACAGGCAGUACACAUGAAACUGCUGCGUAAAGCAUAGUAUUCCCUGAGGAAAAUGAGAAAUAGAACUUCCCAGAAGUCAACAGUGACAGAGUUUGUUCACUCAUGUACUCUCUCAUGCCUCUGUUCCUUCAGUAUUUGUGUAAUCUCUACUCAGUGCUCUACACCGAAGAAGACAUUACAGGAUCAAAAUGGCCAAAUGUUUUUAAGAAAGUAGAAUUAAUUGGAGGCACUAUUUCCAUAUGUCUAAGAUUAAAUCAUAAUAAAAAAAAAGCCAAGGGUUUAAUGUCUUUAAAAUGCCGUCGGAUACUACCAGAUCUACGGAAAAGGCCCACUCAUUUCUGAAGGAGUUUUUCUUUGAGGAUUAGCUUGUCUAUAAAAUUUAAAAAAACUAAACACAUGGUGAGAGGCUAUGGGUGAUGGUUCCUCUCAGGACAACUGGUAACAUUCCCAGAAUUGAUUCUCUUGGGAUCCAUCACUAGAAAUACAGGGAAGGCAGGGAAAUAAUGACAUAACUUGUUUGUUAACUUCCUUCUGGCUGCCUGAGAAAUACAGCAAACCAUUUUGUGUUUGAUAUGUACUAUAAAAGGUUGAGAAUAGUAAAAGGGAAAUAAAGCAUUACAUGGAUUUCACUGACGCACAGAAAAUAAACUUCUUGGUUCCUGUUUACCACCCACAUCAGUUUGAUUCUCCAAACUUGCUGUAGCUCUGUAUAGACUGUUUAAAAGGUUAGCUGCCAUGACCCUGAUACGACAAAGAGCUACACAAGAAGGCGAGUGCCAGCAGUGCAUGAACAGGAAAAUGUUUAAGCCUUAAAGGUAGAAACACCACAACAGUGGAUUCGAGUAAAAUGUUUCCGCGAGUUCAACUCUGGGAGCAUUUGACGGGUUGUCUUCCCAGAAAGAGAGGAAGGAUGUUGUCUUUAUGUGGAUGCGGUGGUUAGAAAGUGAAUGUAUUAGAUUUCCCAAAUAAGCAUCAUUUUGAGCAUCAUGUAUUCCAUUCACACCAGGGGCACCGAUUUAUAAUUACCCUAACGGAGCCCAGAGUGGGGAGAAAUGGCUGUUCCCAUCGACUUCUUCUUAGGCACCGAGUACAUUGGUCACCCACCACCUCAACCACAGGGUGCAAGUGAGGUUUGCUGAUUUCAGCUUGCUUACCAUGGAUGUGCAUUUCUAGGUCACUGAUUCUGGCACAGCAGUGUUCACGGCAAGCAGUGUAUAUAAAGGGGAAUUUACAUGCAGGACGGCUGGCAUAGCCGGAUGGACUUUGGCUUGGCCUGCUUGGGUAACUAACUGUAAAUGAAGCCUGGGCAUUUCCAGAUCGUGUCCUCGCUAAUGAAAAAUGCAUUUGUGUUUGGAUGUACCGAUGUCCAAGUAUAUUAAACCAAAACAUAUACUGAGCUGGCAACAUGGAAAAACAUCUAUUAUGAGUAGCGAGAGAAGGAGUGCCUCAAAUGUCUCCUUUAGCUCUGAAUUCUGUUCCCUAUUUUAUUGUGAGGGGAGUCUAUUAGCAAAAAAGAUAAGAUUUAAGAUAGAAACCUUGCAAGUAACGUUAAGUAGCUGUCUAUCAGAGCAUAUCAUCUACGAGAUGCUGUUAGCGGUUUGACUGAAUUCUAGCAGCAUAUACUUUUACUUAUCUUUCUGGGUUGGUUGCAUUCAGCCAUGAUGGUAUUCAGAUUGUUGACACAUGAUUUGUGAGAGGAUUUAGCUUUCCUUAAACUGCAACAUGAAUACUGAAAUGGGAAUCUAAUCUUAAAACUAGUGCAGGGCAAUUUGCAAAAGCAUCUUAAAACAUGAGUGUGGGGAAUCUUGAAACAUCAGGAAGAAAAUAUUUUUCCUAGUGUCAGGAAAAAACACUGCAGGAAAAGGAGGGUCAUUAGUAGCUGAUUUGCUGAACCAGAUGGGGCUUCGUGACAUGUUUAAGGUGAUCCCAAGAGUGGUAUUUGCUUGAGGCUACAAAUGCUAUCUUUGUAUCAAACUCUGAAGCCAGUGCUGGAAUAGAAAAUAGAUAUCUCAUUCUUUAGGUAUUUUUAGGCGUUAUUGAUUCUAGCUUCUAUAUUGAGUUUAUAAAAACAAAUCAGGGGCCUGAGGGGCCGCUGCCUGUUGUUGCAGGAUCACUGAGGGCAAGCGGUUCUUAGGGUAUUUAGAAACUAGUUAGGUACAAACACACACUGUGUGUUUGCAUAUAUGCAUAUACAUAUAUCCGUGUGUGUGUACACAUAUAUUCACAUGUAUGUGUAUGUGUUUGUAUGUGUGUACGUUUGUGUGUGUGUGUGUGUGUAUGUGUGGUGCUUUGAAUGAAGUGGAAAAACCCUGGAGUCAUGGCUUCCAAGGCAGUCUCUGGGCUUUAACCUACAGAUAUUGUGCAAUCUUGGGCAAGCUGUCUCACUCUGGGAGAUCAGCUAGUCGUGAGGAUCCUGCCCUUAGCAUCUGACACCUUCUUGGAUAACAUAUUUUGAAUCUGCUGAGGAAAAGGGUUGAGGGUUGAUAGUAUGUUUGCUCUGUAUUUAAACUUUCAAGCCAAAUGGGAGUCUGCAAUGUGCCUGACACUCUUCUAUGGGCACUGGGGACACUAUAGUGAAGAAAACAGAUAAAAGAAGGUGACAUGUGACUACUAAUUUGAAAGAGGCAAGAGAAGGAGGAAGGAACAUUCCAGGUAAAGAGAAAAUCAAUUGCAGAGGCCCCGAGGUGGGAGUGUGCUUGGCAUAUUUGAGGAAGAUCAGGGAGCCACUGUACCUGGAGUAAAAAAUGGGGUGAAAAGUUACCGGUGAAGUCAGAAUCUUGUAGGUCAUCGAAAGGGCUAUUCGCUAUCAUUUGGGACCCACUUUAGAGUGUUGAGCCUGGAAAGUGACAGGUGUGACCUGUGGUUUGAAUACAUCUGCCUGUACCCUAUGGUGAGAGAAGAUCUAGGUGGCUGGUAGGAGAGGAAGUGGGGAGAAAAGUUAGGAGGCUGUGGGAGUAAUUCUGCAAAGAGGUGAGGGUGCUGAUACUGAGGUGCUAAUGGAAGAGGUAGUGAGAAGGGGUCCGAUUCUUGAUAUAGAUGGAAAAAAUGGAGCUAAUUGGGUCACUAAUGCUUUGGAUGUGGGCUAUGAGGGUGAGAAGACAAGCAGGGCACCGAGGGUUAUAGCACUGAGACUGGAAGGAUGAGAUUUCCAUUUGCUAAAAUGAGAUGCCUAUUGGAAGAGCAGGUUUGGGAGACUAGGAAUUUGUUUGUGUGGGGGGAAUGCAUUUAAUUUCUGACCCUGCAAGUUUGUCGUAUCUCUAUUUGCAAGGCAAGUAGAAACAUCAAACAGACAGCUAGAAUUUGGGCAGACGCUGGGAAUUGUUAGUAGAUAGGUGGUGUGGGAAAGCCAUGAGGUCUCCGAGGAGACAGUGUACCCACACAUGUGGACGACGUCCUUGGGCAAAGCCUGGUGACCCUACAGCGUUCGGAGGUCAGGGAGAUGGGGAAGGACCAUAAAAGAAACUAGAUGAGUGAUCAGUGAGGAGGAAGGAAAAGCAGGAACAUGGGGUGACCCGGCAACCACGCAAAGGAGGUGUUUUGAGAGAAUGAUCUGUUAUGACAAAGGUUGCUAUUCAGUCAAUGUGGGAGAACACGAUUUAAGACAGAAAUGGUGGGGGUGGCGGGGGAAGGCUUUAUACUUUAAUUUCUCCAGCGGGGAUGAGGGGCUGUUGCCUCUUCUGACUUGGCAAAUCGUAGAAAUUUUGGGCUUUCUCUACCCCCACCCCCCUUAUUUAUUUUUUUUCCUGUUUACAGAUGGAAAUUCUUUUCUGAGCUAAUCUCUUAAAGCACUUUGUCAAAUGCACCCACUAAUAACCGGCUCAUGCUUUUAACAUUCUGUUUUCCAAUUAUGUUCUGUGGAGCUACAAUACGAUGAGGUACAUGAACUGUCUCAGAAAUUGUCAGACAAGAUUAUUUACCAAAUAAUUUGUGACGGCAUAAUAUGGCCUGCCAUCUCUCCAGCUUGUCAUGUGAUUUUCCUAACUGCUUAUUCUCUAAGCCAAGGCUACACGAGAGUUUAGAUUUUAAGGUUUUUAGCAGGGACCCCUUAAGAACCAAAUGGAAAGCUAGGCAGUCCCCCAGUUCUGGUGGCCGAAAAGAGUGAGCCUUUGUCUUCCACUCACACAAAGGCUGCGGCAGGGUUGGGGGGCCCCCACAGUGACUAUCUUCCAUUUCACGACUCGGCCUGGCUGAGUCCCUGUGGGCAGUGAAGGCCGUGUUGGAAAGAUGAGCAUCCAAAGUUAGGGUCUUCCAGGAGGAAGUUACAUGCGUGCUCCUACCCGAAACCAGAUGACUGCUUCUAAUUUCGAAGGCUUAGAGAAGAAUAAGGUAUCAGAGAACAGCUGCAGAGCCUGCCUCGGAAAUAAUCUGUUUUUACUAUAUUUUGAGAGUCACAAAUCAGUGUAAAGCCAUGUGAAUUGACUUUUUAUCUUCUUACCUAAUAUCGAGGUGAUUUCUUGAAGAAAAAUUUUGCUUCACGGCUGGGUCUGAGGCUGUAAAGACAGAAUAGCCAGAAUAUUAUGAACAGGGGUGCCUCUGGGAAAAGCCCCUGAGAAGAUGGAAUGAAAUGAAACCAAACUCUCUGCAGUCAAGUGCUGCUCUGUUACUUCCCAGCUGUGUGUCACUGGUCAAGGUAGAAUUGCCAGAUGUAGAAUAUAAAAAUACCAGCCUCCAGAAUUGUCAGAAAAACUUCCUUCCUGAAGCCACCCAGCCUGUGGUAUUUGUUAAUGUAGCUGGAGCAAGGCAGACCCACAGGGACCUCUGGAAGCAGAGUCCCAUCCCUUUCCCCCAGCAGACACCAUCCUCUGCCCAUGGGAAGAGUUCUGCUUACCCUUUUUCUGACAAAGGAAUAUUAUAGAGACAAAGCUGGAAAAAACACGUCACCCUGUGAAGGAGCUUUGGUUCAGCUGCAGAGCUAAACUCUUACCUCUGUGCUAAAUUGGAAUUGGCCGUGAAUGAUUAUGAAAAUCUGCCGUUGCUGAAGGAUCUUAUUGGAAACCAAAGACAAGAACAGACAUUUCUUGGUGUCGCUAUGUCCUAGCAUGUGGUCUCUAUACUUGGGCUCCUGAAUGCUUUCCUGUGCCUUGUUAAAUGUAUUGUUUUUCUGGACCCCAUGCAAGAAAAAAAUGCUUAAAAAAAAAAAAAAAAAAAAGAUAAGCUCUGGGCAGUACCAUGACAAACUCCUGCAUAUACUUUUAACUUUUCUUCUGAACCCAUUGAAUCUGUGUAUUAAAAAUUACCAUUAUUUGUUUAAAAUUAUGUUAAAAACACUGUUCUUCUCCCUCUUGUCUAAACAUAUUUAGUCUCUUAUUUGAAUUAGCUUCAUAUCUUUGUUUCAGAAUUCGAUUUAACUUGAACUUAUACUAAACCUUUAAUCAAAUGC